AAGUGGAAGUUGAGAGUGAGAAGAAGCAUUACAGGGGAGUUAGGCAGAGGCCUUGGGGAAAGUUUGCAGCGGAGAUUCGUGACCCAAAUAGAAAGGGGACUCGGGUUUGGUUAGGAACCUUCGACACUGCGGUGGAUGCGGCCAAGGCAUAUGACAGGGCGGCGUUUAAGCUUAGAGGCAGCAAAGCAAUAUUGAAUUUCCCACUUGAAGUUGCUAACUUUAAGCAACAAAAUCAUGAUGAUGAGAUUAAAACAUCAGGGAAUAAAAGGGUGAGAGAAACAGAGCAAUUAGUUAUCAACAAGGAAAGGAAAAUAGAAGAAGAAGAAAGAAUAGUCCCAACAGCGGCAGCUCCAUUAACACCGUCAAGUUGGUCGACGAUUUGGGAUGAAAAAGGUAUCUUUGAGGUGCCGCCACUGUCACCAUUGUCUCAUCUUGUAAUGAUAUAAUUUGGGAUUAUUAGUAUUUGAUGAAUAUGCACCUGACUAUAAACUAAGUCUGAGGUGAAUUAGGAUUAGAAUGAUGUGUCUUUGGAUCUUCAAUAUUUAGUAAUUUCAUUGAUUAAGCGUUAUUUAAUGUAAAUAUGCAAUCAAUCUAAAAUUUGUUCAUUUUAUAAUAUGGAAAUUUUAAAGCAUAGACAUUUAUAUGAAGCAGCUUGUCUCUUGCACCAAUUUUAUUAAAACUAUUUUGUGGACUUGUAAGGGAUUAAGUCCAAGUGGAAGGCUUUCCCAUAAUUCUAUCUCCAACACAAAUCCCAAAUUUUAUACCAAAAAAAAAUAUUUUUUUCUCUCUUCAUUAUUAUAUUAUUAUUUCUUAUUUCAUUUGCAUUUUUUUAUUUCAUAAAACAAAUUCUUUCUAAAACAUUCACCAUAUAUAAUUUAUAUUAUUUUCUUUUAUAAUCGUUAUAUUUAAAAUUAUUUUGUACCAUAAUUUUUUAAAUAAAUAUAAAUUGCUAGCAAAUAUUAUACAUUAUACAUAAUAAUGGAUAAUACAAAUAAAAGUGAAAUCAUUAAUGAAAUACAAUUAAAUAAACAUUACAUAAUUAAAAAAAAAAAUUAAAAUCUACAUAAAUAUUCAACUUUCAAGAUCACUACGAUGCUCCCAUAAAUGCUCUAUUAAUGCAUUAGGUAGUUCAAAAUGAGCAAUGUUUGCAAUUUUAAUUUUUGUGAAGGUUAAUUGUAGUUAUCUCCAAUUAUAAUUUAUAGUUGAAUUAACAUAAAUUUAAUUUUUUUUUAAAAGUCAUAUAUAGAAAAAUUAUUUUAUAAAAAAGCUGAAUUUUAUAUCUAAAAUUAAUAUUAUAAAAAUAUUACAUAAAAAAUAAUUAAAUAUACAAGAGAUUUAAUUAAAACAUACAAUUAUAUAUUUAAUUAAAAGCUUGUAUAAUGAAAUAAUAUUAAAUUAUUGAAAAAGUGAAUAAGUGUGAUGAAUAGUGUUACAUCAAAUUUGGUGUAAAAAUUGGUGUGGGUUGGAGCUCAAAACAUCAAAUUUUACACUAAAUUCUAAAUUUGGUGUAAAAUUUGGUGUUGGGUUGGAGAUGGUCUUAAGGCAUAGUAACAGUAAAAACUGUUAAGAAGUCCCACAUCGAUAGAGGGAUAAGAAUUUGGUCUUCUUAUAUAGACUUGGACAAACCUUCUCUCAUAAGCUAGUUUUUUAUGUUGAGUUAGACCCAUGUGUCAUAUCAUUACAUGGUAUCAAAGCCAAACACAUCCCAAUUUGUUGUUCACCGAUGUUGGGCCUCCGUUCACCGAUGUUGGGCCUCCAUUUAGAAGUGUUCACGUUCAAGUUGAGGUUUGGCCGUGUAGGGGAGUGUUAAGAAGUCUCACCUCGAUAGAGAGAUGAAAAUUUGGUCUCCUUAUAUAGACUUGUACUCAUGAGCUAACUCUUGGAGUUGAGUUAGGCACAUGUGCAUAUCUUUACAAAAACAGCGCAUGGAAUUGUAAGGAGAUCGGCGUGCUGAGCCUUUGACGGAACAUAUAAGAGAGAUAAGGUAUCACGCUCGAAGCAUAUAUCCUGCACAUUGCCUGCACUCAGAAUCAUUAUUGAUCCAAGUAAAUUCUUGGUCUGGCUUACUAUUAUAUUGAGAGCUAUAAUUAUGUGAAAGUUUUUCAAAGAUGAGCAUGUAAUAAAUUGAUAGUUAAAAAUUAAGAUCUUUAUAAUAUGAAUAUGUUUCUAAAAUAAUGGUGAAAAUUAUAAUUCAAUUGAUCAGUCUAUGAAGCCUCUAACAUAUUGAAGAUAAAUUAUUGGGAGAAGAUCCCAGACCUAAAUACUCCAUUAAUAAUAUAUAUGAACAACAAAUAUGCUAGAUAAACUGGAGCCAUGCGAAAGUAAAAAGGUCUCACCAAAAUUGGAUGAAAGUAAUCCUAGUAAUGCUUCUGAUGCGUGAAUAUCUAAAUCUGCAUCAUAAUAUAAUGCUUCGCCAAAUGACAUUAAUAAAUAAAAUGUACGGUAUGUAAAAUAAUUGAAUGUAACAAUAGGCUAAAACUGAACAUAUUGAGUUGAAUGAAUAAUUGUGAAGAUAGACUGAAAUAAAGUCAAAUUGAUAGUAAUGCAUGUAUGUGUACAUUAACAACAAAACUUUAUUACUGAAAAUAUGCAUCAACAAUAUACUGAAAAUAAUAUAACUUUAUUUUUCUUGAAAAAAAAUUCUAACCUACAACCAUCACGUGAAUUUCAUGAUGAUACAACAUUUUACCUAUAUUGUCAAAAGCAUCCUAUACCUUGUCAAGAUGAAAGAUAAACUUAACUAAUAAAUCUAAUUUCUAAGCCCUCUGUAGAACUUCUUGAAAAGUCGCCUGAAUCAACGACACGCCUAUCCUAUGUUGAUGACACAUGUGAACCCUUAUCCACUCGAUACUCAAUAUCAAGUCCUUUUCCCUAAUUCUAUAAUAACAAAUGUUGUCUAAUUCAAUUGAAUUUGUCCGAUUAUGUAUACUACUAAUUACUGGUAAAGGACAAAAAGGCAACAACCUGGAUAAUUCCCUAUAGUUGAUUAAAGGAAAAAACCUUUUGCAAGUUGAAUGAAUAUGGUUGAUUGCCUUAUUGGAGUUGACGUUGACUGCAAGUAAAGGUAGAAAAUGGGUGGGUUGACUGAAUUGCUAGGAUCGGAAUGAGUUGAAUUAAUAAAUAGAUGUAUUAUUGAUUCGUUUAAAAAUUAUUUGAGUGAAAUAAAUUAAAAUAUGAGUCAUAAUUCAGCCUGUUCGACUCUGACUAAGUUUAAUAGUUUUUUUUUUUGUUCUUUUAUCUUUUUAGCAUCUUAUUAAAUUAUUAUUUUUUUGUAUUAUGAUUAUAUGUAACAUAUCAAAUAAAAUAAAAUAUUUUGUCAUUUUUUUAUUAAUUUAGAUUAGAUAUCAGUCCAAAUCUCGAUGGACUGAAAUAGAUUGGACUGAGCUAAUAUAUAAAUGUUUCUUACGUACUGUACAACUAAAGAAAUCAACAAAAACGGUCAUAUGUAUAUGCAAUGGAUCGAUAUUAUAUAAAUAGUAUAUAAUCAUGUAUAUAUGAUGUAUAUUUAUAUGUCAGAAAUGUAUAUACUUCCAUAUAUGUUGUUGAUACAAUAUUUAUAAAUUUACAGGCUACUUUUUUUCAAUUCGGACCAAAUCAAAUCUCCUCUAAACAUCUCAAAAUUUACAUAGGAACAUCUCUCGAUAUUUUUGAGCCUUUUGAUAUAUUAUUCACUUGAAACGAUUCAUGUUUGUGACACAUCAAAUUUUAAAAUCAAACUUUAAAGAAGCUUUAAUGGUUGAACAUUGAGUCUCUUAAUCCAAACCAACUCAAAACCUCCUCUAAAAUGUUCAAAAUUUUAAAUAUGAGCUCAAGGAAGGAGGAGAAUGGAAUGAGUAAAUAUCUCAAAAGGUCACUCAACUGUGAGAAAUUGGGUAACAAAGUCAUUCAACUUUAACUUGUUUCAAUAAAAUCACUCAACUUAAAGAUUUCCUCUUAUAAUAUCACUCAAUCAAAUUUAUCACUAUAAAAUAUGAGUAAAAAAUUAAAUUAUUUGCUUAUGCCAUGUAGACAUGAACUCUAUAUAAAAUAAAAUUUAAAGACCCAAUAAAAUUCUCUAUUUCUUUCUUUUAAUUUCUUUUUCCAAGAAACUAACAUGCACUGUUUCUAAUUCUUUAGUAUCAUAACUUUAAAUUCAAUUAUGUAUGACCAUUGUUAGUUAAAUCUUUCCUCUUUUCCUAGGAACUUUUUAACAAAUGGAAAAAAAUUACGGUGCCUAGACCCAACAUAUGUUACGAUCAAAUUAUUAUUUAACUAUUUUUUUUACGUUGAUUAAGUAGUGUUUAUUUGAUUCAUCCAACUUGACUUAGCUGAAAAAUAAGACACUUCGAUUAAGAUAUGAGAUUGAUCUGUUGAAACAUAAAUUUAAAGAAAAUUAGAGAAGAAGCGUAGAGUGGGGAAUACGGGUUUUAGAUAAAAUUAUGUUGAUUUGUGGUGGGUUGGAUGGGUGGGUCGUACAUAAAAUAUGGGUCUUUUAAAUUGAGUGAUUUUAUUGAAACAAAUCAAAGUUAAAUGACUUUGUUAUACAAUUCUUCAUAGUUGAGUAAACUUUUGAGAUAUUUACUCGGGAUGGAAUGAAGAAGAAGAAAAGAAAGGCAACCAAAAUUGUACUUUGUUGGCCAUGAAUAGAGCCAAAUGAUAAUUUUUGAGUUAUUAAUGAUAAUUGAGUCAUUUCGGAUAAGAAAUUUUAAUUUGAAAAGUAUUUCGUUUAAUUUAUCAAUAAUAAUUGGUUGACUUAAACUGUAUAUAUAAGAUGAAUUAUAAUUUUAUGGACUAAUUUUAUCACAGCAAAAAUGAUGGUUACGUUACCGUUAUUAUUAUUUAUAUUAUCUCCUACAUUAUAUUUUGUAAGCGUUAAUGCCGUUGAAAAGUAGGUUUCGAAAGGAGCAAUAAAGUCAAGUGAUGGGGCCCUUUUUGCCUUUGGUCAAUUCACGUGUUAUGUUUUAUGUUUAAUUGCGGCUUUCCUGCUCUUAUAUGCGUCAUUUUAAUGACUUAAAAUUAUGUGCAAUGAUAAUUUAUAAUAUAUUCUUACAAAUGAAUUAUUUUCAUUUUAAAAAAAUAAUAUUUCGUAUCAUUGAUUGCUAACAUGUAAUGAAUAGUAAAUAAUUUGUCAUGAGAUAAUUAUUAUAUUAGCGAUAAAUUAAUCCUUAUUUAAAUAGUUAUGUAUGAAUGUUUUUAAAAUGUUUUAGAUCUAUGCAUUCUGAUAUAAUAAAAAAAAACAUACGUUACUUAAAAUUAAUUACAAGUAAGGAAACAAAAAGACCAAAAUAGCACAUUUCAGCACUUUGUUUCAAGCAGUAAUCUUUAAAUAUAUUUCAAUACUUCCUCCGUUCUAAAAUAGUUAUCUUAUUUCACUCAUUGAAAAUGAAAAUCAAUUUAGCUAAUUUUUAUACUCCCGAUAAACAACCCCUUAUUUUAUUAUUUUAGUGAAGCAAUAAACUAUGAGAGGGACUAGGAUUUUGGAUUAAAGCGCAGGAUGCUUCGUUUCUCCACCUGAGAAGGCUCGUAUGAAACCUCAUCUCUUCAUUUCUUCUCUUUAUAACUCAUCCUCCACACACUCUCUUUUCCACUCAAUUUUCUCUUCAACUUUGAAUUUAAACAUAUAUAUAGUUGACACUAGUUACUUUCUCCAACUGAAAUUAUUUUCUUUGUUUGAUUAGUUGAAUGACACUAGUUACUUUCUCCAACUGAAAUUAUUUUCUUUGUUUGAUUAGAAGAAGAAAAAUGGGUUCAUCACCACAAGGAACUUGUAGCUCACUUGAUUCCAUUAGGGAACAUCUUCUUGAUGAUGAUGUUGCUUUCAUGGAAUAUUACUGCUCUAACACUUGUUUCUCUUUUGAAACUACUCAAACCUCGAAAACAGAGUUUGAUGGUUUUUUCGAAAUUGAGGCAAAACCACAUGUUAUCAGCUCAAAUUCUCCGAAGCAGAGUAACUUCAAAGAACGCAAGCCAUCUCUGAACGUUGCAAUACCCGCGAAGGCUGUUGUUGUAGAGAAAGUGGAAGUUGAGAGUGAGAAGAAGCAUUACAGGGGAGUUAGACGAAGGCCAUGGGGGAAGUUUGCGGCGGAGAUUCGUGACCCGAAUAGAAAGGGGACUCGGGUUUGGUUAGGAACAUUUGAUACUGCUGUGGAUGCGGCAAAGGCAUAUGACAGGGCAGCGUUUAAGCUUAGAGGCAGCAAAGCAAUAUUGAAUUUCCCACUUGAAGUUGCAAACUUUAAGCAACUCCAAAAUGAUGAUGAUGAUGAUGUUGAGAUUCCACAGCCGGUGAACUCAUCAGGCAAUAAUAAAAGGGUGAGAGAAACAGAGCAAUUAGUUAUCAACAAGGAAAGAAAAAUAGAAGAAGAAAGAGUCAUUCCGAUGGCACCUCCAUUAACACCAUCAAAUUGGUCGACGAUUUGGGAUGGAAAAGGUAUUUUUGAGGUGCCACCAUUGUCACCAUUGUCUCAGCUUGUAAUGAUAUAAUUUGGGAUUAUAAGUAUUUGAUGAAUAUGCACCUGACUAUAAACUAAGUCUGAGGUGAAUUAGGAUUAGUUUUAUGAGUGUUUGGAUCUUCAAUCGUCAUUUAAUGUAAAUGCGCAAUCAAUCUAAAUUUGUUCAAUUCAUAUAUAUAUAUACAUUCAUUUUUAUAAUAUUCCAUGAAAAUAUUAAAGCGUAAAGUUUGUUGUGUACUCUUGAGAUUGUCAAUAUCAUUAGUUUCUAUCGAAUCAAGUUCUUGGUAGGCCUCAAUAAGAAACUAGUUGUGUUUAUGAUUGACAAUCCACUACAGAAGAACCGAGUCUUUAACUGAUUUACACAAAUUUUAUGCACGUAAUGAAAGAACUAGGUCCUUCGCAAAUGAAUGGAGCUGAUAGUUCAUUAGACGCGACAAAGCAAAUUCCAAUUGCAUAUAUGCAAUGUGUGGAUUAAAAAACAACAACUCGACAUGAAAAUAUUGUCAUAUUUGCAAAAAGGAAAGAGCUUUAGGAGAAAAUGAAUGAACGUUGAAACAAAUAAGGGAACCAAGUCCAAAUAGGAUUGAAUUUCUUAAUCAAGUUUCGAUGAGUUUUGGAGCAAGAAGACAAGAAAAAAUUGGCUAUCACUAUUCCUGCACAAUACACCACAUUGAUGUUAUUAUGUUGGAUGCUAUUUGCGCAGUUACAAAAUUUAUUUUUGAUAAUAAACAUUCAUUGUGAGAUUCAGUUGAUUUUUAAAAGAACAUGUUCUUAAGGAAGUUGUUGCUGUAGUUCUUGAUUUAAUUAUGUGUGAUUCUUUUAUUUGUGAGUAUCUUAUAAACCUAUGUCUACAAUUAUUGUAAUAGGUGUUUGAGUGUUGAAGUUUUGCUUUCUACUUUCUAGAUCAAGGAAGAGUCUUGAAAGGGAUUGUUUCAAUUGAUUUGAUUGUAAGUGAAAAGUACCAAGCAGUUUCUUUGAUUUUAGAGUUGUAUUCUAAAAUUAUUGAGGUUUUAAUGGAGACAAAAAUAGGUCUAAUUUCUAAGUAUCCUCAAGUAAGGUAAAUUUUUUUAUUGUGUAUAUUUUCGCGAUUUUACUUAUGGUUUGGUGACUUACGAGAACCUGAUUUUCUUUAGCUUAAUAGGUGAUAAUUAAAAUAAUAUCCUCAAUUUAAAAUUACAAGAAAAAAUUAUGUAAAAUUAGCCGCAAAGGAAUUACUACUGGUAGUAGGACAAAAGGCAGCAACCUGGAUAAUUCCCUAGUUGGUAAAAGGAAACAACCUUUUGCAAGUUGAUUGCCUUAUUGGAGUUGACGUUGUAUGCAAGUAUAGGUGACAAAUAGGUGAUGGGAUGGGACUCCACUCGAGUGAGUUUAUUUGUUAUUUAGAUUGAAAUGAUUAAAAUGCGGAUCAUAAUCAAUCUGAUCGACUCUUAUCAAGUUUCAAUUGGUUAAUUUGUUCUUUUAUCAUUUUGAGUACCUUAUUAUUAUUAUAUUUUUAUUAUAAUUAUAUAUUAUAUUUUUAAAAAUAUUUUGACUAAGCUAAUAAAUAAACAAAUUAAUAAUAAUAAACUCAAACUUGAAUAUAUUAAAAUUAAACUAUAAAUAUAUGGAUUAGUUUUGCCACAUCUAAGUACAAAUAAGAUGUGGACGUUACGUAUAUUAUUAUUUGUAUUAUCUCCUACAUUAUUAUUUUGUUAAAUAUUACCAAGCGUCAAUGCCAUUGAAAAGUACGUUUCGAAAGUAAACAAAAAAGCAAGUGAUUGGGUCCCUUUUGCCUUUGUGGUCAAUUCAUGUGCUAUGUUUUAUGUUUGCUAGCGGCUUCCUAAUUCCUAUACCUCAUUUUAAUGAGUUAAAAUUAUGUGCAAUGAUAAUUUAAGAUAUAUAUUUCUAAAUAAAUCAAUUAAAAUACUUUUAAAAAUAUAUAAAUAUAUCACUGAUUGAUAAACCCGUAAUAAAUAUAACUUAAAUCCUUAUUUGACAAUUAGUUAUGUAUGCACGUUUGUAGAAAGUUUAUGAUUAUUAACUAACAGGAUAAAAAAUAUUUAUGCAAUUAAAAUGUAAUUACAACUGAGCAUAAUAAUUAAAUAUUUGUUGAAAAUUAGAAGCUGGCUGGAAAUUGAAUCGUUGUUGGAAGACGUUGGACUCAUCCACCAUUGAAAAAGAGAGGUAACAAAAGGACCAAAAUAGCACAUAUCAUCACUUUGUUCCAACCAGCAAUCUUUAAGUAUAUUUUACUAUAUUAGACAAGCGUUUGCGAUGGAAAUUAAAUAUUUGUUGGUUUAUUUGAUAUUUUUAAAGUUGAAAUUGAAACUGUGCUUAUCCACACUUUCUGUAAAAAUAUUUAAAAUUUUAAUAUACUUUUCUUAAAUAUGAUUUGUAUCUUUUAAUUUCUAAAAAGUAGCGAAAUUAUCUAGCUUGACUGGUUUACCUGAAAAAUACAACCAACUCUAUUUAGAGGAAUAGUAUCUCAAAAUAAUGUCAUAAAUUAGAUCAUAUAUACGAGUUAUUACAUACGAAUUUUUUUGAAGUUGAAAUUAAAGAUCGAGUUGUAUUUAGUUAUAAUUUUGCUAAUGCUAUUUGAUCGCUUGAAUGUACUUUUCAUAAAAAGAACAUAAAAUAUGACUUAAACAUGAAAUAUAAUUUAUAAAGAAUUAUAUUUAUAAAAAUAAAAUUUUUAAGGAAUUUUAAAAAAAAAAUAUAUGGUGAAAUUUUCAAGUUGUAUUUGAAAUUUCAAUGGUUCACUUAUUAAAUUAUCUCAGAACUAUAAUUUUGAAACUAAAAUUCUUCGAUUAAUUUAUCUGAUAUUACAAUACCAAGUUAGAUGACAUAUGGUAAGGUGUUCAAGUUUAAGUUUGAAAUUAUAUUUAUACUUUCUUUCAUUGAAAGUUACAUUUAUAUUAUCAAUCAAUUCCUAAGGUUUGUUUGAUAGGAUGCAUUAGAAAAACAAUGCAUAUAUUAAAUUAAUUUUAUAUAUUAUUAAUACUCACUCUAUUGAUAUUAUGAUAUAUAUAAUUAAUUAAUGAUAAUUAUGAUGUUUGCAAUGCAAAAGUUUAAAUACACAUAAUUUUUACUCAAAUCUUUUUUUUACAUUCUUUUCGUUGUAUUUGUGGAAAAUAUUUUGUAAAUAAAUAACCCCCUCUACUCUUUUUUUUUAAAAAUGUUUUGUUUGUCUAAUUUUGGUAUGAUUCAUUUAAGAAAAUAAAAAAAAAUUGAAUAUUGUAAUGUUUAACUAAAGAUGUGUAAAAUAUUCUUCUAUCUUAUAUUUUAAUGUCAUUUAAAAAGUUAAAAUUAAAAAAUUCUCAAACAAAUAAUUUUUUUUUUAAAAAUAGCUAAAAAAAAAGAGCAACUUUCACAUAUAGCAAAUAAACCAUUAUACAAACAUAAAUUAUACAUUAUACAAACAUAAAUUAUACAUUAUACAAACAUAAAUUAUACAUUAUACAAACAUAAAUUAUACAUUAUACAAACAUAAAUUAUACAUUAUACAAACAUAAAUUAUACAUUAUACAAACAUAAAUUAUACAUUAUACAAACAUAAAUUAUACAUUAUACAAACAUAAAUUAUACAUUAUACAAACAUAAAUUAUACAUUAUACAAACAUAAAUUAUACAUUAUACAAACAUAAAUUAUACAUUAUACAAACAUAAAUUAUACAUUAUACAAACAUAAAUUAUACAUUAUACAAACAUAAAUUAUACAUUAUACAAACAUAAAUUAUACAUUAUACAAGCAUAAAACUGGGCAGGGGAAUAUUUUUAUUGUAUAAUUAUAAGUGUAUUUGCAUGUGUAUAUACAAUUUUCUUUCACUUUAUACAAACAUAAAUUUUACAUUAUAUUGUAUAAUCUGUGUUUGUAUAAAACGAGAAAGAGAGAAAGGCAAAAACGAACAGGGCAGGGCAAUAUUUUUAUUGUAUAAUUAUAAGUGUAUAGGACGAAUAUAUAUGUAUUUGCAUGUAUAUAUAUAAUUUUCUCUCGCUUUAUACAAACAGAAAUGCAAUUUAUACAAUUCUGUUGUAUAAAGCGAGAGAGGUGAGCACAGAGGGAGCGAGUGAGAAAGGGAGAGUGGCGACUGGCAAACAUUUGCUACAGAGCGCAAUUAAAUCAAACAGUAGCUGUUCCAUUUAUUUUAAAUUAUAAGUUUUGCCAUUCUAUACAAUUAUUCCAAAAAAUAAUAAUAAGACAAACAAAGUGAAACGAAAUAGGUAAUUUUUUAAUAAAAAUUAUAUACAUAUUAUUCUUAACAUAUCAAAUCAAACAACAUGUAAAAUAUAAUUUAACAUAAUUAACACCAACAUUACUAAUAUAACUCUUCAAUACUAUUCUUAUGCCUCUUGGGUCGCGACAAACGACCCCUUAUUUUAUUGUUUAGUGAAGCAAUAAACUAUGAGAGGGACUAGGAUUUUGUAUUAAAGCGCAGGAUGCUUCGUUUCUCCACCUGGGAAGGCUGGUAUGAAACCUCAUCUCUUCAUUUCUUCUCUUUAUAACUCAUCCUCCACACACUCUCUUUUCCACUCAAUUUUCUCUUCAACUUUGAAGUUAAACAUAUAUAUAGUUGACAUUAGUUACUUUCUCCAACUGAAAUUAUUUUCUUUGUUUGAUUAGAAGAAGAAAAAUGGGUUCAUCACCACAAGGAACUUGUAGCUCACUUGAUUCCAUUAGGGAACAUCUUCUUGAUGAUGAUGUUGCUUUCAUGGAAUAUUACUGCUCUAACACUUGUUUCUCUUUUGAAACUACUCAAACCUCAAAAACAGAGUUUGAUGGUUUUUUCGAAAUUGAGGCAAAACCACAUGUUAUCAGCUCAAAUUCUCCGAAGCAGAGUAACUUCAAAGAACGCAAGCCAUCUCUGAACGUUGCAAUACCCGCGAAGGCUGUUGUUGUAGAGAAAGUGGAAGUUGAGAGUGAGAAGAAGCAUUACAGGGGAGUUAGACAAAGGCCGUGGGGGAAGUUUGCGGCGGAGAUUCGUGACCCGAAUAGAAAGGGGACUCGGGUUUGGUUAGGAACAUUUGAUACUGCUGUGGAUGCGGCCAAGGCAUAUGACAGGGCAGCGUUUAAGCUUAGAGGCAGCAAAGCAAUAUUGAAUUUCCCACUUGAAGUUGCAAACUUUAAGCAACUCCAAAAUCAUGAUGAUGAUGUUGAGAUUAAAACAGAGAUGAAGUCAUCAGGCAGUAAAAGGGUGAGAGAAACAGAGGAUUUAGUAAUGAAGAAGGAAGUGAAAAUAGAAGAGGAAAGAGACGUUGU
RNAcentral lists this long non-coding RNA (11664 nucleotides) under Solanum tuberosum (potato). Its description in RNAcentral is "long non-coding RNA (STUB_LNC003822)". The record is from RNAcentral. Lineage: Eukaryota; Viridiplantae; Streptophyta; Magnoliopsida; Solanales; Solanaceae.